RNAcentral lists this ribosomal RNA (292 nucleotides) under uncultured eukaryote. RNAcentral describes it as "partial 18S ribosomal RNA". It matches the Rfam family "Eukaryotic small subunit ribosomal RNA", at positions 6 to 328 of the family's 1831-position model. The record is from RNAcentral.
GGUUGAUCCUGCCAGUAGUCAUAUGCUUGUCUCAAAGAUUAAGCCAUGCAUGUCUAAGUAUAAGCGUUAUACAGUGAAACUGCGAAUGGCUCAUUAAAUCGGUUAUAAUCUACUCGAUAUUACACAUUACAUGGAUAACUCCGGUAAUUCUGUAGCUAACACAUGAUUGCCAUUUAUGGCGUAUCUGUUAGAUUAAAAACCAACAUUAUUGGUGAAUCAUAACAGCUUGUCGGAUCGCAUGGCCUUGAGCCGGCGAUGGUUCGAUCGAAUUUCCGCUCUAUUAACUAGAUUC